GUGGUUUCAGUGCACUGUGGAAGUCUCACUACACCUCCAGAAGUACCUCUCUACUCAAGGUACAGAGUGCAACUUCAGAGAGCAGGACAUCUCUGUUUCCUUGGAGCUUUCCUGAAGCUCAGCUAGGGUAGUGUGGUACUACUGAAGAUGUCAGUCCUCUGAGCUGGAGACUUCUGACCUUGCCUGUCUUAAG
This is a long non-coding RNA of Poecile atricapillus (Black-capped chickadee), 193 nucleotides long. RefSeq lists it as uncharacterized. The record is from RefSeq and is a predicted model, not a curated record. The transcript has 3 exons. NCBI's taxonomy places the organism in Eukaryota, Metazoa, Chordata, Aves, Passeriformes, Paridae.